CAGGCGGCCUGGCGGAAGGAGGCGCGGGAGCAGCGCUCGUGGGACGCGGGAGCUUGGCGAGAACUCUUCCUGGACAACAGCAACUUGAUUAGGGUGAAUCACCUGCUUACCUACAAAGAAGAUUAAUAACCCCGGAGUCAAGCAUUAACCAACAGAUGUUCCAGGAAAAUGUUCCAAUCACUUGAGGCUUUCAAGUGCUGCAAGGCUCUCAGAAAUGUUUGAAUGUUACGAAGAUUCCCACCUGUGUUAGAAUGGAUUUAUGCACUCGCCUGGCACUGCUUUUGGGAUUUGGAGGGGGAAAGGGGUUCAGAAAACACAAUGGUGGAUUUCUUUUCAUGCAAGAUAAAAUCCAAAUUCUCAUUUCCAAAUACAAAAAAUAUUCCAGCAAAGAAACAGUCUUGUGAUAAGUGAUAUUACUGAACUGAUAUUGGAAAUGUGGUCAUUUCCAUUGGUUUAAAGUACAUACAAGAAUAAUUUACUAUAAAUUAUAAUAUACAAAUGUAUUUAAAAUGUUUCAGUGCUGCCUUUCUGUAGCUUAUGGUGGCUCAAGCAGAAAUACAUAGAACAAUAUUAAAUCACUAGAUUAAAUUAAAAACAGAAAAUCAUAACCGUGACUAAUAAGAAGUAAAAGAGGGCAUUUAUCUUUCUUUAUCUAUUGCUAUGAGAAAUUUGUUCUUUGGAAGUAUUUCUCCAAAACUGAGUCAAUUCUUUAAAAAAUUAACUAAAGUAGUGCAACUUCUUCUUUGCAUUCACACAUUUAGAAACAUAUUACAAGAAGCUUUCAAGUCUUAGGAAAGCUUUCACCAGUUCUCAGAAAUAAUCAGAGAUGGUUUUGCCAAUUCUUUCCUCUAAAAGAGUGGUUCCCAACCUGUGGUCCAUGGACCACCAGUGGUCCGCAAGAACUAAAAUAUGGUCUGUGGCCUCACUAUUGCAAUGAGAAUGACUCAUUAAUUAUGGUUUUCUAUCAGUGAGCAGAUGGCAACUACUGGAUGGCAAAUGUUCUUUAACAGAAACUAUGGCUGAUGUGGUCUAUACAAUGCAAUUUUCUGAAUCAGCAUCCCAAAUAACCAAACCAAAUCUAAAGUUGACCAAAAAGUGAUUCGUAACCCUUUUGGCACUAAUGUUGGAAAGUGGUCCCUGGUCAAAA
Anolis sagrei ordinatus is the source of this 1147-nucleotide long non-coding RNA. RefSeq lists it as uncharacterized. Lineage: Eukaryota; Metazoa; Chordata; Lepidosauria; Squamata; Anolidae. The record is from RefSeq and is a predicted model, not a curated record.